GACGAACGCUGGCGGUGUGCUUAACACAUGCCAGUCGAACGGUAAGGCCCUUUCGGGGGUACACGAGUGGCGAACGGGUGAGUAACACGUGAGUAACCUGCCCUCAUCUCUGGGAUAACAGUCGGAAACGGUUGCUAAUACUGGAUAUGAGCUUGCAAGGCAUCUUGUGGGUUGGAAAGAUUUUUUUGGUUGGGGAUGGACUCGCGGCCUAUCAGCUUGUUGGUGAGGUAGUGGCUCACCAAGGCUUCGACGGGUAGCCGGCCUGAGAGGGCGACCGGCCACAUUGGGACUGAGAUACGGCCCAAACUCCUACGGGAGGCAGCAGUGGGGAAUAUUGCACAAUGGACGGAAGUCUGAUGCAGCAACGCCGCGGGCGGGAUGACGGCCUUCGGGUUGUAAACCGCUUUCAAUUGUGACGAAGCUUUUUGUGACGGUAGCAGUAGAAGAAGCACCGGCUAACUACGUG
Molecule: ribosomal RNA, 466 nt
Filed under: uncultured bacterium
Lineage: Bacteria
Description: partial 16S ribosomal RNA
Rfam family: Bacterial small subunit ribosomal RNA
Source: RNAcentral